This 364-nucleotide unclassified non-coding RNA is filed under the name Hevea brasiliensis (rubber tree). The record is from RNAcentral. Lineage: Eukaryota; Viridiplantae; Streptophyta; Magnoliopsida; Malpighiales; Euphorbiaceae.
UUGUAGCUGCCUGGCAGCCACCUUGUCCGCUUUUAAUGGAUAUAGAAAACAAAGCCUACAAUUAUCACAAAAUCCAUGCCAAAAGCUCCAUCAAUUUAUAACAAAAUUAAGAGAACACAACCAACAUGUUAAUUACCUAUUAAAUAUUAGUAGCUUAUGUGUACAAUUUCUCCUCCUUUUCACGGAGCUUUAACCCAAAACAAACAUAUGCUUACAGUUUCUCACCAAGUAUAGAGGAGGAGGAGAAAGAGGGAGAAGAAGGAAGGGGGGAGGGGGAGGGGAUGCAUAACCGUCACCACAACUUUUUGUCUCUGUUCUUGGAGUUUGUGUGUCGCUGAAGAUAUUAUGAUUUUCCUUCAUCUGU